RNAcentral lists this transfer RNA (70 nucleotides) under Anomaloglossus kaiei (Kaie rock frog). RNAcentral describes it as "tRNA-Tyr". It matches the Rfam family "tRNA". From Rfam's summary of the family: Transfer RNA (tRNA) molecules are approximately 80 nucleotides in length. Their secondary structure includes four short double-helical elements and three loops (D, anti-codon, and T loops). Lineage: Eukaryota; Metazoa; Chordata; Amphibia; Anura; Aromobatidae. The record is from RNAcentral.
GGUAAGAUGGCCGAGAGAAUAGGCAGUGGGUUGUAGCCCCAAACACAAGGUUAAAGUCCUUUCCUUAUCA